UGGGGAAUAUUGGACAAUGGACCGAGAGUCUGAUCCAGCAAUUCUGUGUGCACGAUGAAGUUUUUCGGAAUGUAAAGUGCUUUCAGUUGGGAAGAAAGAAAUGACGGUACCAACAGAAGAAGUGACGGCUAAAUACGUGCCAGCAGCCGCGGUAAUACGUAUGUCACGAGCGUUAUCCGGAUUUAUUGGGCGUAAAGCGCGUCUAGGUGGUUAUAUAAGUCUGAUGUGAAAAUGCAGGGCUCAACUCUGUAUUGCGUUGGAAACUGUAUAACUAGAGUACUGGAGAGGUAAGCGGAACUACAAGUGUAGAGGUGAAAUUCGUAGAUAUUUGUAGGAAUGCCGAUGGGGAAGCCAGCUUACUGGACAGAUACUGACGCUGAAGCGCGAAAGCGUGGGUAGCAAACAGGAUUAGAUACCCUGGUAGUCCACGCUGUAAACGAUGAUUACUAGGUGUUGGGGGUCGAACCUCAGCGCCCAAGCAAACGCGAUAAGUAAUCCGCCUGAGGAGUACGUACGCAAGUAUG
Molecule: ribosomal RNA, 524 nt
Filed under: uncultured bacterium
Lineage: Bacteria
Description: bacterial SSU rRNA
Rfam family: Bacterial small subunit ribosomal RNA
Source: RNAcentral